Non-coding RNA from Acanthosepion pharaonis, 113 nucleotides. The record is from the annotation of a GenBank genome assembly. Lineage: Eukaryota; Metazoa; Mollusca; Cephalopoda; Sepiida; Sepiidae.
UUACGGCCAUAUCACGUUGAAACACCAGUUCUAGUCAGAUCACCGAAGUUAAGCAACGUCGAAACUGGUCAGUACCUAGAUGGGUGACCACGUGGGAUACCAGGUACUGUAAU